AGGAUCAAUGAAAUCUACCAGGUUUGUGAGAGAGAUAAAAUAAUGUAUCGAUUGAAUUGUGUUAGUUGUUGAGCGAUGUGGAGUGCAAAUAUUAACAGUAUUGAUUGUAAAAAUAUGAAAUUGCAUUUAAUUUUUAUAUCAAUCAAUAUUAUCAUUUUUCUAUGUUUUUUUUACAUAUUUAUGUUGCUUUUGCAAAAAAAAUAUUCAUUAUUUUCAUUUUAAGUCGUAACUUGAUGAUAGGGUAAUUAUAGUUCAAUAUAAGAUAAACUGGAAUUAUAUAGGCGCUAGGUUUAGAACUAAAAUUAAGUCUAUUUGAUGUAACAUUAGGAAAAAUUUAUGAAUAUUCAAUAAUUUCUCAGUAUUUCUUGUCAAAUUAUGAUAAAGUCAAAUCAGAAAAUCUUGCAUUAGUCGACUCCACACUGAAUCUAAAAAGUGUGGUCCCAUGAUGAGAAUAUAAGUAGUUAUCUCAUGGCAGUUAAAACAACUAUUUUAUGUGCUUUUUGGGAUACAUUUAUAUUCUUUUGAAGUAAAAUUAGAAAAUACCUUGUUUUUGAUACUUUAAAAGUGAAUUAGUGGUAGGAUUUUCCAUUUGUCUAUAAAUUGACAGCUCAAAAGAGGACCAAGUCUCAAUUUUAAAGCGUUUCAACAUGUUGAUUAUUUAACACUUUGCUAUAGUUCUUAAGAUUUUGCUUUGAACACUAAAUGUAUCUUAUUUUUUAACUGUAUUAAUAACUGAAAUUUUUUAAGUAGAUUAUAUAUUUAAUUAACCCAACUACACAAUUUCUGUCCAAUUUUAAUUUUUCUACAAAGUUCUAUAUUUUUUAUCUGUGAUAAAAGAAGAUUGAAGAUCUGAUAUGGUUUUACAGGGAAAGCUUUAUAUUUAUGAGAUGAAGCAUUUAUAUGUGUUAUUUUCUUGUCUUAAUAUUUAUAAAUAUAUAUAUAUUUAACAUAUUUCAAUUUCUUUUUAUACUUUUUUAAUGUUUUAAAAGUUUAUUCCGUCCAAAUUUGAUUCCUCAUGUUAGGCAUUAGAGAUGAAACUAUAUAUAGUAACAAGUAGUGCAUGUGAUAUCAAAAUCAUGUGAUCAGUGAUUUUUUAGUAAAAAGUCACAUGAUUAAUUUUAGUUAAUGACUGCAACUAGCAGACAAGCAUUUAUAUUGUUAUGAAAAUAAAUUAUUUAUUAUAUACUAG
Molecule: long non-coding RNA, 1189 nt
Filed under: Mytilus galloprovincialis (Mediterranean mussel)
Lineage: Eukaryota; Metazoa; Mollusca; Bivalvia; Mytilida; Mytilidae
Source: RNAcentral